CCUACGGGAGGCAGCAGUGGGGAAUAUUGGGCAAUGGGCGCAAGCCUGACCCAGCAACGCCGCGUGAAGGAAGAAGGCUUUCGGGUUGUAAACUUCUGUUCUGAGGGACGAAGGAAGUGACGGUAACUCAGGAGUAAGUUAACGCUAACUACGUGCCAGCAGCCGCGGUAAUACGUAGGUGCCACGGGUUUACCGGAUUUAUUGGGUGUAAAGGGCGUGUAGGCGGGAAAUCAAGUCAGAUGUGAAAGCUCAGGGCUCAACCUGGGAACUGCAUGUGAAACUGGUUUUCUUGAGUGCUGGAGAGGCAAGCGGAAUUCCAGGUGUAGGGGUGAAAUGCGUAGAUAUAUGGAGGAACAUCAGUGGCGAAGGCGAAUAGCUGGAAAGUAACUGACGCUGAGGCGCGAAAGCGUGGGGAGCAAACAGGAUUAGAUACCCUUGUAGUG
RNAcentral lists this ribosomal RNA (443 nucleotides) under uncultured bacterium. RNAcentral describes it as "partial 16S ribosomal RNA". It matches the Rfam family "Bacterial small subunit ribosomal RNA", at positions 338 to 795 of the family's 1533-position model. The record is from RNAcentral.